This is a long non-coding RNA of Gopherus evgoodei (Goodes thornscrub tortoise), 180 nucleotides long. RefSeq lists it as uncharacterized. The transcript has 3 exons. NCBI's taxonomy places the organism in Eukaryota, Metazoa, Chordata, Testudines, Testudinidae. The record is from RefSeq and is a predicted model, not a curated record.
AUUUAAUUCCUGUUUGAACUAGAGUACAUCUUUUUUAAAAAUUUCUAAUCUUGAUCUAAAAAUAGCCAGUGAUAAAGAAUCCACCAUAACCUUUGAUAAAUUAUUCUAAUAGUUAAUUACCCUCACCUGUUAAAAAUUUGCACCUUAUUUCCAGGCUCAAUUUUGUGAGAUACAGGUCCA